This 425-nucleotide ribosomal RNA is filed under the name uncultured bacterium. RNAcentral describes it as "partial 16S ribosomal RNA". It matches the Rfam family "Bacterial small subunit ribosomal RNA", at positions 354 to 796 of the family's 1533-position model. The record is from RNAcentral.
GUGGGGAAUAUUGGACAAUGGGCGCAAGCCUGAUCCAGCAAUUCCGCGUGAGCGAAGAAGGCCUUCGGGCUGUAAAGCUCUUUCGGCGGGGACGAUAAUGACGGUACCCGCAGAAGAAGCCCCGGCUAACUCCGUGCCAGCAGCCGCGGUAAUACGGAGGGGGCUAGCGUUGUUCGGAAUCACUGGGCGUAAAGCGCACGUAGGCGGCUACUCCAGUCAGAGGUGAAAGCCCGGGGCUCAACUCCGGAAUUGCCUUUGAAACUAGGUAGCUUGAACGUCGGAGAGGUAAGUGGAAUUCCGAGUGUAGAGGUGAAAUUCGUAGAUAUUCGGAAGAACACCAGUGGCGAAGGCGACUUACUGGACGACUGUUGACGCUGAGGUGCGAAAGCGUGGGGAGCAAACAGGAUUAGAAACCCUGGUAGUCC